Austrofundulus limnaeus is the source of this 994-nucleotide long non-coding RNA. RefSeq lists it as uncharacterized. The transcript is spliced from 3 exons. The record is from RefSeq and is a predicted model, not a curated record. NCBI's taxonomy places the organism in Eukaryota, Metazoa, Chordata, Actinopteri, Cyprinodontiformes, Rivulidae.
UUAGGUCAGGGUUAGUUCCUGUAGAGUUAGGUUAACGUUAGUUCCUGUAGAGUUAGGUUAACAUUAGUUCCUGAAGGUUUAGGUCAGGGUUAGUUCCUGUAGAGUUAGGUUAACGUUAGUUCCUGAAGGUUUAGGUCAGGGUUAGUUCCUGUAGAGUUAGGUCAGGGUUAGUUCCUGUAGCGUUAGGUUAACGUUAGUUCCUGAAGGUUUAGGUCAGGGUUAGUUCCUGUAGCGUUAGGUUAACGUUAGUUCCUGUAGGUUUAGGUCAGGGUUAGUUCCUGUAGGUUUAGGUCAGGGUUAGUUCCUGUAGAGUUAGGUCAGGGUUAGUUCCUGUAGGUCAGGGUUAGUUCCUGUAGAGUUAGGUCAGGGUUAGUUCCUGUAGGUUUAGGUCAGGGUUAGUUCCUGUAGAGUUAGGUCAGGGUUAGUUCCUGUAGGUUUAGGUCAGGGUUAGUUCCUGUAGAGUUAGGUCAGGGUUAGUUCCUGUAGUUAGGUCGGGGUUAGUUCCUGUAGUUAGGUCAGGGUUAGUUCCUGUAGAGUUAGGUCGGGGUUAGUUCCUGUAGUUAGGUCAGGGUUAGUUCCUGUAGAGUUAGGUCAGGGUUAGUUCCUGUAGGUCAGGGUUAGUUCCUGUAGAGUUAGGUCAGGGUUAGUUCCUGUAGGUUUAGGUCAGGGUUAGUUCCUGUAGGUUUAGGUCAGGGUUAGUUCCUGUAGAGUUAGGUUAGGGUUAGUUCCUGUAGGUUUAGGUCAGGGUUAGUUCCUGUAGGUUUAGGUCAGGGUUAGUUCCUGUAGGUUUAGGUCAGGGUUAGUUCCUGUAGAGUUAGGUUAGGGUUAGUUCCUGUAGGUUUAGGUCAGUGUUAGUUUGGUUAUGGUUUGGCGCCACCAGGUUGUCUUGAGUGUAGCGUCUCUUUUAGUUGUUGUGGUUUAAUGUUUCAUUAAAUGCUGCUUGAACUGAUGAAAGAAGUGAAGCAGCGUGGGAAAAUCCUGAGAGCUGGCUGUA